Molecule: long non-coding RNA, 3636 nt
Filed under: Oryza sativa Indica Group (long-grained rice)
Lineage: Eukaryota; Viridiplantae; Streptophyta; Magnoliopsida; Poales; Poaceae
Description: lncRNA OsKYG_06g0002850
Source: RNAcentral
AAAACCAUUCCGAUUCCAUUUAAACAAAACCGCCAGUUCCCCACCCAAAAUUUCGAAGCUUCCUCACCUCUUUGCUUCCUCACCUUCUUGCCAGAAGCCUCACCCGACGAUCCUCACCCGACGCUCCGUGCCCCGACGUUCCUCCACGAUUACCUCCGGCUCUCCUUCCCCGAGCGCACGGGAAACUGUGAUCACUUUGAGAAUCAAUGGGCCCUUCUGGGAGGGAGGGAUCUGGAGAGGAGUCCGAACAGCGUCAUUUUAGCAGCUCAAGAACUGUCAUCAGAUGCACGGAACGUGGUUAUAACAGCAGGCUUUGAGCAGUUACUGUAUAUGUCCUUAGAGGGUUUUGGUAACAGAGAGAUAUUGAGGUUUCUUAUGAACAAUACACAUACAGAACAAACAUCUGAAGGUGUUGAGAUUAAGAUUGAAGGAUCUAAGUUACCCCCCAUCACGGAGAAUGUGGUGGCACAUGUUGUUGGUGUUCCUGAAGGUUCUGGUGAGAGCCUUGAAUUUGAGCAGGACACUAAGAAGCAAGGAGAAAUCAAGAAAGCUGUUCACAAUUUGUUGAAGCUCCCUGACAGUGUUGAUGAUUGUGAGCCCAUUGCAGAUGAAAAGAAAAGGGAUAGAAAACAUAAAACUAUUAUGAAUGGCAAGAUUGGCGUUGAUUAUUUACGUGAUGUGAUGGAAGAAGCCAAGGAGACCAAAGAUGUUGAGCUGGAAGUUAAGUGCUUCUUCUUCAUCGCAUUCCAUACACUGCUGCUCCCAGAAAAGGAUGGUUAUCUCACUCUACACCAGAUGCAAGCGGGUAUGAACCUUGCAAGGAUACAAAGAAUUAAUUGGCGCAAGGUUCUUCUCAACCAUUUAAAAGAUGGUGUUAAAUCAUGGUGGAAAUCGCAAGCCAAAUCAACCAAGCCUGGUGGUGUCGCGUCUGUAUACAUAAGUGGUCCUGUGACUGUGCUUCUUUUAUAUUACUUGGACUUCCUAAAGUCAAAAUCCGAAAGCGAUGUCUCUCAGACGCCAAGAAUUUGUUACUACGGCGAAUCUAUGGUGACCGAUUUGGUGCAGGAAACUAUGCAAAAGGAUGGCAAGAGGUUUGACAACCUCAAGUUUCGCACAACCGAAGAGACCUGUUAUUCAAGAAGCUAUAAUGAAUGUGAGAAGGUGAAGGUGCAGAAAGUGUCUGGAAAGCAGAAAAAAAAUAAGCGCACUCGUCUUGGCAAAAACAAAGGCGAAAAAGGGGAUAAAGAAGAAAAGGGCACGCAUGUCAACCCCGCGGUAAGAAGAAAGGAAGUUGUGAAAAGAUAUGGUGAGAGAGCUGAGAAAGACAGUGGUGCCAAGAACGACAUGGUUGCGCACAUUCCUGCAUUAGAGGAUUUUGUUAAAUCUUCUAUAGAGCACAUGCCUCGUUAUCUGCACAGCGACGCUAUCAAGAUUGUAAAGCAAAAUCAUUCGUCGAUUGUAGAGAUGUAUGAGAAGAUCAUGAAGACUCAGUCACAGAUGCCCUCGAAAAUGGAAAGCUUGGUAGACAGAUAUAAAGAUUUGGAUGAGUUCUAUUCAAAACACAUUAUGUCAAAAGCCGAUUGGGAACAGAAACAUUUCGGCAAUAAGGCUGCGGUGGAUAUUAAUGGCAUUACCAUUUCAGAACAUGAUUUUGUAAAAAGCAUGAAACUGAAUGGAUGGAUAAGUAACUUCAUUGUGGACGUGCAAUGCUCCAUAUGGAGGGAGGAGGAAGAAUGGAAAGACAAAAUAAUCCUUAGUCAAUCUGCUGUGAAUGAACUGUUGGGUUUAACCCAAAUCAGAGGCUAUGUGGAAAAGGAGUUGUCUAACCUAGCCAAAAAGAAGCAGAUAUUUGUCCCUAUCCUCGUUCGAGCUUUGGAUGGUUCUGGUUUACAUUGGUACUUGCUCGUGGUGGACAUUGAGAAUGGAAUAAGGUAUAUACUGGAUUCCCUUCCAUCACGGGGCACUAGAAGUGCGACGGAAACUGUGAAAUUAUCAUAUGAUUCUGUUGUCAAGUUUUCCUAUGCUGGGUUAUCCUUCACUUAUAACCGAUGCUGUCAGUUCCCUUGCAUUAAAUGGUCAAUGAUCGAAAUUCUUAACUAUGCAAAUGAUUAUUGCAUAUCCGAUUGUGGAUUCUAUAUGCUGCUGUAUAUGGAACGAUUUGGUAGAAUGAAAAUAGAUGACAUCAAUGAGAAUGAUGUAUUAAUGUAUCGCAAAAAACUUGUGAAGGACAUAUAUGAGAAUCCUAACAACAAUCCUAAGGAUGUAAGUGACGAGGUCAUAGCUCAAGAUGAAUAUCACAUUUUGGACGACACCAUAUGUUUGUCACCACCCCCUUCAGAUUUGCGAAAUUCCCCUCCACGCCCAAAUCUGACAGUAUCCCCCAUGAGUCAUGAAGAUGGGCGUAAUGAUGGCCCUCUGCCACCAUCCUCACCAGGGACAAGCGAUGGUAACAAGAAUCUGGAAGAUGCCCAACCCCAAGAGGAGGCUGACAGAUCCAGUGUGGGAAUAGCAGAAAAUGCUGAGGCAGGCAACCAGGCGAAUCAUGCGAGGACAAGCGAUGGUAACCAGAAGGUGGACGAUGCCCAAGCUCAAGGGAAGGCCAACAGAUCCAGUGAGGGAAGUUCCCUGGAUACAAGAACAGACAAUGAACGCUCAAGGACAAGCGAUGAUGAGGCUGGAGGCAACAAGGUGGAUGAAGGUGAAAAAGGGGUGCCAUCAUCCCCACCACGCAGAGAACAAAAUCCAUCCCAUGCCCUCGAUAAAGACAUAGUUUAUUAUUCUAGAAAGAAGAAAGAGAAGAAAAGGAAAGAGAAGAGCAGGUCAAGCUUGGAUAAUGACUUAAUUCAACUGGGCAAGAGGUGCCGAAUUGCAACUACCAGGACUGCUAUAAAGACUACUAGACGCGAGUGGCCUGAUGAUGCGAUAGUUAAAGAGGUUUAUGAGCUUGCCACUGAUUGUAAGGAACAAGUAAUAUUGAAUUUCGGAGCUAUCGCAAUGACUGGUUCUGAAAUAGAACAGUCGUUCCAGAAAGUUGAGUGUGCCGGGGAUAUUAUCUCAUUAUUUAUUAAAUACCUGGAGAACAAUACGUAUCCUGAUGACAGCAGGAUCUUUGUCCCACCACUAUACAAGGGCAAAGGAGGUAUGAAGAAAAAGAUUAAAGAUGCACUCGGUGGAUCCAACGAAAAGAAAUCAGCAGUGGAGUUUCCUCAUCGAUUUAUAUACUGCCCUGUCUUAUUCUCUGGUGAAUGGAUUGUGGUCUGUUUCCAACUGAAGAAUAUGAAACAGAUCGGUAUUCUUUGCAACAACGGUGGCGACGAAAUUAAAAAUUUCGCUUUGGAUUUGGGAAAGAAAUUAAACAAAGUCUUAGGAGACUGCAACUACAAAACAGUGUCAUUUGAUGAAAAAUCUCUGUCAUUUUUUCCGUCUUGUGUACAGCCCAAUGACAGUGUGUUCGCAGCCAUGUAUUUUCUUGAACAUUUCAUAGGUGUGGCAGGAGUGCUCAACAAGCUGACUUGGGAUGAAAAGAUGCGGGAUCAAUACAUUAAAUCUUACAGUCGAGGGAUUUUGACAUGCCUUAUCCAGCACAAGGAAAACACUGCAGAUGUGCCUGAUGGAAUUUUAGCAUUGUUCGAAUAG